CCACGGGGGCAGCAGUGGGGAAUAUUGGACAAUGGGCGAAAGCCUGAUCCAGCCAUGCCGCGUGUGUGAAGAAGGCCUUCGGGUUGUAAAGCACUUUCAGUGGGGAAGAAAGCCUUGGGGCUAAUACCCUCGAGGAAGGACAUCACCCACAGAAGAAGCACCGGCUAACUCCGUGCCAGCAGCCGCGGUAAUACGGAGGGUGCGAGCGUUAAUCGGAAUUACUGGGCGUAAAGCGCGCGUAGGCGGUCUGAUAAGCCGGUUGUGAAAGCCCCGGGCUCAACCUGGGAACGGCAUCCGGAACUGUCAGGCUAGAGUGCAGGAGAGGAAGGUAGAAUUCCCGGUGUAGCGGUGAAAUGCGUAGAGAUCGGGAGGAAUACCAGUGGCGAAGGCGGCCUUCUGGACUGACACUGACGCUGAGGUGCGAAAGCGUGGGUAGCAAACAGGAUUAGAUACCCCGGUAGUC
RNAcentral lists this ribosomal RNA (463 nucleotides) under Vreelandella stevensii. Its description in RNAcentral is "partial 16S ribosomal RNA". It matches the Rfam family "Bacterial small subunit ribosomal RNA", at positions 339 to 795 of the family's 1533-position model. Lineage: Bacteria; Pseudomonadati; Pseudomonadota; Gammaproteobacteria; Oceanospirillales; Halomonadaceae. The record is from RNAcentral.